UCUGCCUGAGUCAGUGGACUGCAACACCAGCACUUUCAUCUGCCCUGAGCUCCAUUUCUCCUUCAGCGCCUCUAGGAUUUCUGAGUCACCACAUUCCUUUCUUCUACAUUCUAUUACUGAGAGCAGAGGACAAAGUCUGCACCACAAAGAGGGGGCUGAGUGGAGAAAGGAAAACAAAAUCAGUGAAGUAACUGCCUCCAUGACUCAUUUGUAAAAACCCAAAGGGUUUUGAACAUUCUUUUACCACUUGACUGUUUCUGAGAACUUGAUCGGAGGUUCUGGCAGGGGAGAACAGCUACUCCACCCUUACUGAAG
This 315-nucleotide long non-coding RNA is filed under the name Cricetulus griseus (Chinese hamster). RNAcentral's name for it is "lncRNA (ENSCGRG00015029901.1)". The record is from RNAcentral. Lineage: Eukaryota; Metazoa; Chordata; Mammalia; Rodentia; Cricetidae.